Molecule: unclassified non-coding RNA, 372 nt
Filed under: uncultured bacterium
Lineage: Bacteria
Description: contains 16S-23S intergenic spacer region
Source: RNAcentral
UCUCCGUUAUCCGGAGCAGUCCUCUUAGAGUUCCCCCUUGCGGGUGGCAACUAAGAAUAAGGGUUGCGCUCGUUACGGGACUUAACCCAACAUCUCACGACACGAGCUGACGACAGCCAUGCACCACCUGUGAUCCUGCCCACAAGGGGAAACCGUGUUUCCACGGCGGUCAGGAACAUGUCAAACCCAGGUAAGGUUCUUCGCGUUGCGUCGAAUUAAACCACAUGCUCCGCUGCUUGUGCGGACCCCCGCCAAUUCCUUUGAGUUUCAAUCUUGCGGUCGUACUUCCCAGGUGGGAUACUUAAUGCUUUCGCUCAGACACACACUGUGUAUCGCGUAUGUCGAGUAUCCAUAGUUUAGGGCGUGGACUAC